Long non-coding RNA from Brassica rapa (field mustard), 5969 nucleotides. RefSeq lists it as uncharacterized. The record is from RefSeq and is a predicted model, not a curated record. NCBI's taxonomy places the organism in Eukaryota, Viridiplantae, Streptophyta, Magnoliopsida, Brassicales, Brassicaceae.
ACAAUCUCGAGACAACAGUGCCUGGUGCUAAAUUUGUCUACGUAUACAUUUAUAGUUCUAGUCUUGAUCUCAUCAACAUCCUCAGGCUUCAGAUCCACGAGCUAGAUACAGGUCGUCAUACACUACCCGGUAGCUCUACUAAGUGAAGAACCGGAUUUCACCCUUUUCUUCGCGAAUAAUAUGUGAAGUUCCUAGAGCAAGCUACCUUCGCCUACCUUCCAUCUAGAAGCGGAAAUGAUAAGAACUGGUAAACAUGUUAACUACAUUACGGAUUGCUCGUGGAUCAACAAUCCCCAGGCUUCAGGUAACUGCAUUACUCAGUGAAGUAACUACAUUACUCAGUAAACGCACAUACAGUUAAAUAUAUUAGCCUUAUCCUAUUUAUCGGAUUCUUUCUUCCCAAAUAUGCAUUUCUUUGAAAGAGAGAAUAAUUAUGAUCUAAUUGCUUUUUCUAACAUAGUUAUUUAAUUUUGAUGAAAGUGAUUGUUAAAAUCACAACAUAUCAAAACUUUUCUUUAAUUCUUGGCUUUUAAUAAUACACAAGAUAAUAAAUAUAUAUAUAUUCGUUUUUACAUGCCUUACAUGCCCGAAGUGGUUGUAUACUGCCUAAGACAAAGUCAUUGGUCAAGAAUGAAUACAUGACAGUAGACACACAUUAAAGAACCCAUGUAAUCCAAAUGUCUACCUAGUCCUUUUAGGACCUCUUUGAUGAAGCUCCAUUAUAACAUGUCGUAUGCUUUGCUCAUGUCAGAUUUGCCAGCCAUGGAGCAGUGUUUUCAGGGUAUUACCAGUUAACAUGCUUGAUGUCAUAAUACAUAUUUAGCGGAUUGAUGUCAUAUUUAAUACAAUUCUAACGAUUGAUGUCAUAUUUAAUACAUAUAACCGUACCUAAAAUCCACGGUAAUAAUUGUAUGUGCGUUUGUAAAUGCUUAGGGUACGAUCAAAGUGAUGAUCAAUAGUAUAAAGCAAUGUGUAAGAUAGUUUCAACUUCUGGAGAAUAUCAAGAGCACAUGGUUUUAACACUAGGAGAUGAUAAUAAACCUUCAUGGAGACACAUUGAAGGCACUACCAUGGAUAAUAUCCCUUUCACCCUUUGACAACGGGAAUCUGUAUCAAUGGGUUUUUGUAUUAUGGCGUUUGGACUCCAACAGAUAUAAGAAUGAUAGUGUGUUUUGAUGUUAGAUCAUAGAAGCUAAGUUUUAUCAAACUACCUAGGAAGCAGAGUAUAAAUUGGGGAGGUACUUCAACUUUGAUGAACUACAAAGGAAAGUUAGCUAAUGUUACUGUCCGCAGCCACCAUGACGACAUAUAUUAUGUCUUUGAUCUAUGGGUAUUAGAAGUGCCAACGAACAUCGAUGGUCGAUGAGACAAUGUUCGUUUCUGAGAUCUUGGUGGAACUUUUUUGGGAAUAUUCCAAUAUCUUUUCAAGGCACCAACAAGAUAGGCGAAAUUAUUAUUGCUCCAAAGUUUUUGCCAUGGGACCGUCAACCUUUUUACAUUCUCUUCUUCAAUGUAGAAAAUAAUAAUAUAAGAAAAGUUCAGGUUAAAGGAAUUGUAGAUGAUGAAGGUUUCAGGCAUCGGUAGGGAAUUGGGAUCAAUGGGGAUUGCGAAGUCUAUAUAUUUCACCGGAACAUUGUGCAAAUUUUAAGUUUUUAUAUGGGUUAAUUUGCCAAAUAGCCAAUCUUGGAAGCAUAAUUAAGAAUAUGACAAUGAUUUUGACAUUAUUAAGUCAAUAACAUUUAGCUCAAGUUUAGUCGGUUAUACCCUCUUCUGCUACAAAUAACCGGUGAAUAAAUCACGUAGAUGACGUUGAAGAAAAUAAGGUAUGGUCAAUAUUUACUGCGCACUGUUGAAAAUGAAGACACCACAUCCAUCCACGUCAUUUACAUAACUACUUCAUAUGUUUCUGUGCUCAGUAAAUCUGUUCAUGAAAAUAAAUUAUUCUUACAAUAAAUAGUAUAUUCCAUUUAUUUCUCACAAUUAAAUCGGACUGUUAUAUUUCAUAUCAUCCAAAUAGUAUAAAAAAUUUAACUAUAUCAUAAUCCCUAAAUAAUAAAUUUGAUCUCAAAUCCACAAACAUCUAAAUAAUAAAUCCUAAACAAUAAUCACUAAACCCUAAACCCUAAUCAGUAAACCCUAAAACCAAAUAUAAUCCAUAAACUCAUAUAUAAACUCUAAAUCUAAAUCUAAAUUUUGAAUACUAAAAUUUAAACUAUUAUCACUAAAUCCAAAACUCAACCCCCACUUUCCAAAUACUAAACCCUAAAUCAUAAUCACUAAACCUUAAAUCCAAUUAUAGAUCAAAAACCCAAGUAUAUACCCCAAUCCCAAAUAGAAUGUAACAAAAUACAUAGUAUAGUAUAUAUUGGUGAACAAAAUAGAACACUUUUUAUUAAUCGUCAAAUGAAACGAUACAUGAUAGGGUCACUAAACCCAAGCCUUAACCACCACCUUUCAAAUACUAAAUCCUAAAUCCUACUCAUUAAACCCUAAAUCCAAGUAGAUCCCAAACCUAAAUAGAAUGGAACAAAAUAUAUAGUAUAGUACAUAUCGAGAAUGAAAUAGUAUAUUAUUUAUUAAUCGUCAAAUGGAUACAUGAUAGAGUCACUAAACCCAAACCUCAACCCCCACCUUCCAAAUACUAAACUCUAAAUUUUAAUCAUUAAACCCUAAAUCCAAGUAUAAACCCUAAACCCAAAUAGAAUGGUUAGUACAGAUUGGAGAACAAAAUAAUACAUUCUUUAUGAAUGCUCAAAUAAAAGAUACAUGGUAAAAAAAAAUAGUAACAGACUAAUUCACAUUAUAUAACAUGAACAUAACACUUAUAAUAUAUAUUGGUUUAUAUUUCUAUUCCUUAUGCAUAUAAAUAGAAUAGAACAUAAUGUUAGAAAAAAUGUUUAUCUUCUCCGAUCAACUAAAGCAGUAUAACUACCAGCUCCAAAAUCGAAAUUUACAAGCGUUUAAGUAUGGUCUUCACGAACUGUUGAAUCUCGAAGUGAGAAAUUACUCACAGAGACGGUACGAUUGUUGCGACUUUCGAGUUCAGAAGCCGUGAAUCCUUUGUCUCCCAUCUCCAACAAAGGCGUCACAAUCGGGCUGGUACUCCACAAACGUCGCUGGUAAUAUACUCGGUGAUUUCAGUGGCGGACAAAAUGGAGAAGAAAGCAUUAAGCUUUCACAAUUAUUAUCAUUUACAAUUUGUGUCAAAAGAAAAGACACGUUUACUUCUCUAGAAUAAAUAAAAAAUAAUUUAUAUUUAUUUUCUUUCAGCAGGUUACACCGGUUGUAUACAAGGGUAAAAAUGCAUUAUUACAUAAUAGACAUAAAGUAUAUUGGUAUAAUAGGGCAAUUGGUCACUGAGUUAAUUAUAAUUUGUUUGGACGUCAUACAGUGCAAUUUCCCUUUUUAUAAAGUGCUAUAUUUUUUAUUCUCAUUCAAGGAUCCAUAAGAGUGAUAAGGAAGAUUAAUCAGUGUUUUAUUAUUCUCCUUCCUCAGUGAAUUUCAACUAUUAUUCUUUAAUCACCAAAAAACUUGUUUGACACAUCAUGCUCCGCACAACAAAACAUACAACUGAGGUGCCUUUUCGCUCAUCAAAGCUAAAAUUAUGUGUUUUUAGCCUGUUCGAAAACGCGGCCGACUAGCCGCCUAAGCGCUGUUCAGACGUUGAUCGCAGUGAAUAUGAUGAAAUAGGUGAAGCAAGGCAUUAACCCGCGUAAGACUGCCUAAUUUCUGUGUUUCUCGCCUAAUUCAUGCGUUGACCGCCUAAGUUUUUUUUCUUGUCCGUGUAAAGUUAAAAUAUGAUUGAUUAUUUUUUACUCAUUAUUGAGAUUUUGUGUAAUUAUUCAUUACUAAAUAAUUACAAUUAGCUAUCAAACCCAAAACAAACACAUAUAUACUACAUUUAGGGAUUUUUUCGUACCAAACACACCCUAAUCUAAAUGUUUGACGAAUCAAAAGGAGUCUGUUUAAAAUAAUAUAUAAAAAGUAGUUAUAUAAUUCUGUCUAAGAACUUGUGCAUCAUGUUUAAAAUUAGCUAAACAUAUUAUAUAUAUAUAUAUAUAUAUAUAUAUAUAUAUAUAUAUAUAAAUUAAAUUGUAUUUAAAAUUAGGUCCCAAGUAUUCUCCGAGUACUUUCCGAUUAUCGGUAACUCGCUAAGCCUGGGAUUACCGCCCGACUAGCGCCUAACAUAGUUCCGAACAUGGAUUUUAGUAAUAAAACCAUUACAUUUUGAAUUUUUUUUAUAAAUACGUUUAGCAAAUAACUAGUCAAGUUAAAAUCUUCUAAUGACAACUUUCAAGUCGUGUCAUCAAAAGUGGAUGUAAAUAAUAAAAACAUUUUUUACGUUGAAUAAACUAAUAUAUUAAUGGGUCCAAGCCCAUAAACAGUUUAGUCCAUAAAAGGGUUUAUUACAAUAGAGGAAGAUCGAAGCGCUAAAUUAGCCAACGAAUGGACAUGACAAAAAUCUCACACAUCCUAAAAAAAUCUACAUGGGCUUAAAGAGAGGAAACUGACCAUUUUGCCUUUAAUGAUGGCGCAAUAUGGAUCAUUAGAUCAGAUCAUCUCCCUUAUAAUGUGAGCCGUCAGAUCUUCAGAAGAAAAGAAAUGAAAUAAUUACAAUAAUGCCAUUAAUGAAACUCAUCUUAGCCGUCAGAUCUUUCCUCUGUGUUAUAAUCUGAGUCGUCCAAUCUCCCCGUUAAAUCUCUCCUUCUCUCUCUUGCCUAGGUCCCACCAUAAAUUUAAUCAGUCUUCCUCUUCUUUUUCAUUUCACCCCCAACCACACUCAACCACCACGAAAAUUCAUUCUAUUCACCAGCCAAAGCUCUAUUCUUCAACUCUUCAUCCACAAACAUGUAUGUCUGUUUCUUAAGGUCUUUUUACAGCUUAGGACACCGUGAAACAUCACAUGUGCAUCGUCCUUGGUUCUGAAAUCGCUUGGUAAGUGUAUACUCUCGCCCUCUCUUUUUCUCUCACUUUUCUCUGUCUCUUUUUAUUUUUCUAAUAUUUUAUGUUUCAGUUUAGUUACAUUAUAUGUAUGUUAAUGUUAUGAGUCAGAUUCUAAGGUUUAAUAUAAUGUUUUUAAAAUAUGAAGCAUGAUAUUGUAGAAUAAAUCGUUUUUGCCUAGGAUACAACAGGUACAAUUUUUACCUAUGUAUCAAACAAUAAAGGUGAUACUGGUAUAACUGGUCCAACUAUGUCUUAUUUACCAAGCUAGUGAUACUGAUAUAACUAGUACAACUAUUCAGGUUCUGAAAUUAAAAUAUUCCAUUGGGUAUUGCAUAUGAAAAAAACAAUUAGAUGGCCAAAUUGGUAAGUAUUUAGAUAUGUUCCUUUUUAUUUGUGAUGAUUUUUUUUUCGUUGGCAAUUAUAACAGCAUCACAAAAGUUUGCAUGAUCGACCUUAUACUUUUAAGGCUUGUUAAUUUCUUUAUUCACAUAAUUUUUAGAAAAUGAACAUGAAAUGUAUUUUAACAAAAUUAAUGAUUUCAUUGUAUUGGGGCAAAUACAUGUAAACAUAAAGAAGUGGUACAACUGAGGUAAGUUUAAUUUUUAUAUGGUACCACUAGUGUUUUAUUUCAGUACCAAAGUACAACUACGUACAAACAGAUACAACUCAAAAAAUAGUACAACUAUCUAUAAACCGGUACAACUCGAAUACUAGUACAACUAUGUUAUUUCAUUUUGUAUUGUGCAUCACUUUUUAAACGUGUAUCAUGUUUUAAACAUUCUGGUUGAACAUUAAUGUUGAGUAGUUGUAAUAGUUGUGCCGUUCUUGAAAAAAUCAUGUAGUUUAACAUGUUGUAUUAGUUGUACCUAAAUAAAAUAAUUUUAAACUCAUCACAAAUUUUUUAACAUUCCUCCAAAAGAAACAAGUUAAACAUCCUAAGAAACAUAGGUUUUAACAUACAAAAGAACAUAGGCUUUAACAUCCAAAAGAACAUAAGUUUUACGAACAUAAGUUAUAAGAAAGCC